ACGGGAGGCAGCAGUGGGGAAUAUUGGACAAUGGAGGAAACUCUGAUCCAGCGACGCCGCGUGAGUGAAGAAGUAUUUCGGUAUGUAAAGCUCUAUCAGCAGGGAAGAUAAUGACGGUACCUGACUAAGAAGCCCCGGCUAACUACGUGCCAGCAGCCGCGGUAAUACGUAGGGGGCAAGCGUUAUCCGGAUUUACUGGGUGUAAAGGGAGCGUAGACGGUAUGGCAAGUCUGAUGUGAAAACCCGGGGCUCAACCCCGGGACUGCAUUGGAAACUGUCAAACUAGAGUGCAGGAGAGGUAAGUGGAAUUCCUAGUGUAGCGGUGAAAUGCGUAGAUAUUAGGAGGAACACCAGUGGCGAAGGCGGCUUACUGGACGAUAACUGACGUUGAGGCUCGAAAGCGUGGGGAGCAAACAGGAUUAGAUACCCUGGUA
RNAcentral lists this ribosomal RNA (434 nucleotides) under uncultured Lachnospiraceae bacterium. RNAcentral describes it as "partial 16S ribosomal RNA". It matches the Rfam family "Bacterial small subunit ribosomal RNA", at positions 341 to 792 of the family's 1533-position model. Lineage: Bacteria; Bacillati; Bacillota; Clostridia; Lachnospirales; Lachnospiraceae. The record is from RNAcentral.